This 497-nucleotide ribosomal RNA is filed under the name uncultured bacterium. RNAcentral's name for it is "partial 16S ribosomal RNA". It matches the Rfam family "Bacterial small subunit ribosomal RNA", at positions 28 to 507 of the family's 1533-position model. The record is from RNAcentral.
GAUGAACGCUGACGGCGUGCCUAAUACAUGCAAGUCGAGCGAACGGACGAGAAGCUUGCUUCUCUGAUGUUAGCGGCGGACGGGUGAGUAACACGUGGAUAACCUACCUAUAAGACUGGGAUAACUUCGGGAAACCGGAGCUAAUACCGGAUAAUAUUUUGAACCGCAUGGUUCAAAAGUGAAAGACGGUCUUGCUGUCACUUAUAGAUGGAUCCGCGCUGCAUUAGCUAGUUGGUAAGGUAACGGCUUACCAAGGCAACGAUGCAUAGCCGACCUGAGAGGGUGAUCGGCCACACUGGAACUGAGACACGGUCCAGACUCCUACGGGAGGCAGCAGUAGGGAAUCUUCCGCAAUGGGCGAAAGCCUGACGGAGCAACGCCGCGUGAGUGAUGAAGGUCUUCGGAUCGUAAAACUCUGUUAUUAGGGAAGAACAUAUGUGUAAGUAACUGUGCACAUCUUGACGGUACCUAAUCAGAAAGCCGCGGCUAACUACGUG